RNAcentral lists this unclassified non-coding RNA (300 nucleotides) under uncultured Rhizophydiales. RNAcentral's name for it is "sequence contains 5.8S rRNA gene, ITS2". The stretch from base 1 to 62 matches the Rfam family "5.8S ribosomal RNA", at positions 84 to 154 of the family's 154-position model. Lineage: Eukaryota; Fungi; Chytridiomycota; Chytridiomycetes; Rhizophydiales. The record is from RNAcentral.
GUGAAUCAUCGAAUCUUUGAACGCACAUUGCACUCUUUUAGAGUAUGCCUGUUUGAGAAUCUAUAGUAUUAAUUUCUGCCUUGGCUUUUCAAGUCUGGGCAGGAGAUCUGAGGCUUCCCUGCCUAGGUAGGGUGCCUUUAAAUAGAUUGUGUUUGUUUUGUAGAGGACUACGACGUUUUUCAAAACCUGCAGAAAAGUAUUUGAAUGGAACUGUGGUUUCUGAUAUGCUGAAUAUGUGGGCGAAAGAUUGAGUCUUUUUCAGGCAAAUGUCCAUACCCAAGAGCCGAAAGGCUUGAACCA